AUUUGAAGCAGGGACUGAAGUCCUGAGCCAGAGCAGGUGUACCACAUCAGAAGGUACACCUGUAGCACGGAGAGGCUGCCUCAAGGGGGCAUCCAAUGGACCUCACCUGUGGUGUCUUAAAAAAAAACACACACACAACACGAGCCUUUCUACGCACACCAUACAGAGAUUGUCUUUGGCUAAGGGAAGACUGUAACUGCACAAGGAAGAAACCCAUAUAUUUUCCAGCACUCCAUCCUCACUGUCAAAACUGUCAAGAACAUAAAGGGUCUGAGAUUGUGCCCUACUUGCAAGGCAACAAGUUAACCUGGCAUAGUUUCAUGUAUGCUGGUAGAAGCUAUGAGGCUCCUGAUUCAGAGAAGGAAGCACUGCAUUAGCGAGUCCUGAAGAUCCUUUCCAGCUCUUUGAUUAUAUGACAUUCUGACUAGCACAAAGAGGCACACCUGCAAUCCUACUGAGAGUUCCAUGGAUCAUUAAUGAUUAUUCAUGGUGAAGGAAGCAGAGUUCUUAAGAAUAACUGUACAAUGUGCUAGGAGUGCAACAUCCCUGAGAUAAGGAGAGACUGACUGGAACAGCAUGGGCUCAGUGCCAGUUCCACCCUAAAAGGAGGAUGUUCUUCAAUGCUUUAAAUCAGCAACUCACAUGACCUCAAGAUAUCAAACAUGGGAAUGGCGGGCUGCUUUCCAUGCUCCCCUCUCUGUGGUUCUGGUGGGAAAUACCCAGAGGAGACUUCACCUGCCCUGGGCAGCUUUCCUGAGCCUUGGGCCAGCUCACAGUGAGUCCUAGGCUUCUGUUGUUCCUUGCUGCCUAACUGUAAGUAUUAAUAAUAAAACUCAAAUAAGUUGGUAAUCAGUGCACAGUGAACCUGCUUCACAGCAAUAUUUUU
This 886-nucleotide long non-coding RNA is filed under the name Homo sapiens (human). Its description in RNAcentral is "HSALNT0209891". The record is from RNAcentral. Lineage: Eukaryota; Metazoa; Chordata; Mammalia; Primates; Hominidae.